CGACGCGGUGGAAGGGUUAUCCGCGCCGGUCAUCCGCGCGGCGGUGGAAGGCAGCCUGCGCCGGCUCGGCACCGACCGCGUCGAC
This 85-nucleotide transfer RNA is filed under the name Sphaerisporangium melleum. Its description in RNAcentral is "tRNA-Sec". Lineage: Bacteria; Bacillati; Actinomycetota; Actinomycetes; Streptosporangiales; Streptosporangiaceae. The record is from RNAcentral.